CGCCACUCUGGCUGAACAGUGGAGUCACCUGGGGAACUUCACAAAAUGCAAGUGGUGCCCGGGCUCCACCCCCGUGGCUCUGAGUUCAUUGGUCUGGGCAUCAGGAAUUUUUACAGCUCCCAAUGAUUCUAAUGGACAGCCACCUCUGAGAAGCGUUAGGCAGCCCGAGAAGGGGAAAUCCUGAAGGCAGUGGGGGGAGGUGGCCACCAGCGACUUGCCACCCCCUCCCGAGACAGAGCCAGCGCAGGAGGGUGUGACCAGCAUCAGGGAGGCGGGGAGACACAGUGACAGGACGGUGACAGUUUGGGUGUCCUUUCCGCCCGUGCGCGCGACGGGACGGAGGGGCAGGGGUUUCCUCCUUGGGAACGCUGUCUGUCUGGCAGCCAAGGAAGGCCGCGGCCUCUGGGGAUCCCCGCCCGUAUCGAGCGCCCCUUGCCGAGGGAACCUGGCUCGGCGAGCGGUGCGCGCAGGCUCGGAGGCGUGAGAGCGGGCCGGGCGGCGGCGCGGCCGGGAGCGGGUGACUCACCGGGCGGGGGCGGCUGGGGGCGGCUAGGGGCGGCCGCGGAGCCAACUGCAGCAGCAGCGGGCCCAGCCUGCCCCGCAACAGCCAGCGCGGCUCCUGGAGGGAAACGAGCAAGGCGGCCCCGCAGGUGUGGCGCGGCCCUGGGAGGGCGCGUGCGAGCGCUGCUUUGUUUGGUGCCCGCACAGCCCCGGGCUCCAGGCCUGAGCGCCAACCUUCCCGAGCUGAGUCACGGCUGCAGAGCCCGAGGGCGGCCAUACGGCCCCGCCCGGAAGGAUGAGGCCCCUUCCUGAAGCUGGCGAGUCCGAUGCGGUGGCAGGGACAAAAGCCAGGGGAAGGUGGCUUCUAUUCUACAAAGCCCUUUAGGGAAGGGGGGAGUCAGGCCGCCCUCACCCAGUGCAGGUCCGUCACGAUGGUCACCCAGAGCACUCACGCAGAAAGCCAGCUUGCAGCCGCCAGCCCUGAGGAUGCCGCCCCCAAAGGGCUCAUUGCUCUAAUCACCCGUCCAGGGGCUUGAGGCAAAGCUCCAAGACAGACCUGUAGCAGCAUGGCCCAAAAAGUUCCUCUGCUGCCCCAGUCCCAUACCUGCCUGAGGUACGGGGGUUCAGGCUGAGUCGGCUGACCUGGAGUCAUCUGGAAGCCUUGUCAGAAAUGCAGAUUCUGCAGUGCUGUUCCCAGAGGAUGAGAUUCAGCAGAACUGGGUGUUGGAUAUUAUAUGAAGAGAUUUGCAAGUGUUAUUUUACGUAAUUCGCACUUUACAAAGGAGGAAACUGCAGCGCAGGUACCAAGGUUGCCCCAUCUCGGUCCAGGCCUGCUCCCGGCGAGCCACUCGCCCUUGACCACGCCUCCUCUCUCCUGAUUGGCUGUCAGGCAUGAGUCAUUAAGCUCACUAAGACAAUAAUCAAAGACCUAUAAAACCGUGAACUUCUUGAGACAAUGAGGAUGCCUCUAACAGACUUGGGAAGAAAUCCUGCACAAAGAGCUGGGGAAAAAAGGGAAGAAAAGCACAUAGAAUACUCCUUCAAGGCAGGCAUUGGCAGACCUUCCACCGUGCACCAGGCUCUGUGCUAAGAUUCACCCUGGAGUAACCCUGCCUCUGGGGGUGAAGUUGCUAUAUCUGGCUGCGUUUUGGCCAGCCGACCCUCUAGGCAGCCCUUAAUUCUUGCUUCUCAAACUUACUUCCAAGGACAGAGAAAGAUGACCACUGCCCUCACCCCACUAAAGAAGCCCCAGCACUUAGCAAGCACUUAUGGCCCAGAGCAGACUGUCUCUACUUCAUUUCACUCUCCACACCCAGACUUGGACCACACUUGGAAAAGAACCAGCCAGUCCUGGAGGCUGCAUAUUGUGGAUAGCAGGACUCCACUCACAUCUCAAAGCUCCUCCCUGCCCAUUCCCAUGGUCCCUCCAGCCCUUGGGCAAUACUACCAAUAAGAAGGAGAAAUGAGCUGGAUUUCACUUCCUUUGGAGCAGGUGUGAAUAAACAGAAUUGUCCCAAACUUGGGCAGCAGAAGUGGGGAAAGAAGAAAGGCAACCGGCCAGGCGCGGUGGCUCACGCCUGUAAUCCCAGCAUUUGGGGAGGCCCAGGCGGAUCACCUGAGGUCAGGAGUUUGAGAACAACCUGGCCAACAUGGUGAAACCCAUCU
This 2166-nucleotide long non-coding RNA is filed under the name Homo sapiens (human). RNAcentral describes it as "HSALNT0348746". The record is from RNAcentral. Lineage: Eukaryota; Metazoa; Chordata; Mammalia; Primates; Hominidae.